Molecule: ribosomal RNA, 575 nt
Filed under: Escherichia coli
Lineage: Bacteria; Pseudomonadati; Pseudomonadota; Gammaproteobacteria; Enterobacterales; Enterobacteriaceae
Description: partial 23S ribosomal RNA
Rfam family: Bacterial large subunit ribosomal RNA
Source: RNAcentral
GGUCAGCGACUUAUAUUCUGUAGCAAGGUUAACCGAAUAGGGGAGCCGAAGGGAAACCGAGUCUUAACUGGGCGUUAAGUUGCAGGGUAUAGACCCGAAACCCGGUGAUCUAGCCAUGGGCAGGUUGAAGGUUGGGUAACACUAACUGGAGGACCGAACCGACUAAUGUUGAAAAAUUAGCGGAUGACUUGUGGCUGGGGGUGAAAGGCCAAUCAAACCGGGAGAUAGCUGGUUCUCCCCGAAAGCUAUUUAGGUAGCGCCUCGUGAAUUCAUCUCCGGGGGUAGAGCACUGUUUCGGCAAGGGGGUCAUCCCGACUUACCAACCCGAUGCAAACUGCGAAUACCGGAGAAUGUUAUCACGGGAGACACACGGCGGGUGCUAACGUCCGUCGUGAAGAGGGAAACAACCCAGACCGCCAGCUAAGGUCCCAAAGUCAUGGUUAAGUGGGAAACGAUGUGGGAAGGCCCAGACAGCCAGGAUGUUGGCUUAGAAGCAGCCAUCAUUUAAAGAAAGCGUAAUAGCUCACUGGUCGAGUCGGCCUGCGCGGAAGAUGUAACGGGGCUAAACCAUGCAC